This 1350-nucleotide ribosomal RNA is filed under the name Escherichia coli. RNAcentral describes it as "partial 23S ribosomal RNA". It matches the Rfam family "Bacterial large subunit ribosomal RNA", at positions 1613 to 2925 of the family's 2925-position model. The record is from RNAcentral. Lineage: Bacteria; Pseudomonadati; Pseudomonadota; Gammaproteobacteria; Enterobacterales; Enterobacteriaceae.
AAAAGCCUCUAAGCAUCAGGUAACAUCAAAUCGUACCCCAAACCGACACAGGUGGUCAGGUAGAGAAUACCAAGGCGCUUGAGAGAACUCGGGUGAAGGAACUAGGCAAAAUGGUGCCGUAACUUCGGGAGAAGGCACGCUGAUAUGUAGGUGAAGCGACUUGCUCGUGGAGCUGAAAUCAGUCGAAGAUACCAGCUGGCUGCAACUGUUUAUUAAAAACACAGCACUGUGCAAACACGAAAGUGGACGUAUACGGUGUGACGCCUGCCCGGUGCCGGAAGGUUAAUUGAUGGGGUUAGCGGUAACGCGAAGCUCUUGAUCGAAGCCCCGGUAAACGGCGGCCGUAACUAUAACGGUCCUAAGGUAGCGAAAUUCCUUGUCGGGUAAGUUCCGACCUGCACGAAUGGCGUAAUGAUGGCCAGGCUGUCUCCACCCGAGACUCAGUGAAAUUGAACUCGCUGUGAAGAUGCAGUGUACCCGCGGCAAGACGGAAAGACCCCGUGAACCUUUACUAUAGCUUGACACUGAACAUUGAGCCUUGAUGUGUAGGAUAGGUGGGAGGCUUUGAAGUGUGGACGCCAGUCUGCAUGGAGCCGACCUUGAAAUACCACCCUUUAAUGUUUGAUGUUCUAACGUUGGCCCCUAAUCGGGGUUGCGGACAGUGUCUGGUGGGUAGUUUGACUGGGGCGGUCUCCUCCUAAAGAGUAACGGAGGAGCACGAAGGUUGGCUAAUCCUGGUCGGACAUCAGGAGGUUAGUGCAAUGGCAUAAGCCAGCUUGACUGCGAGCGUGACGGCGCGAGCAGGUGCGAAAGCAGGUCAUAGUGAUCCGGUGGUUCUGAAUGGAAGGGCCAUCGCUCAACGGAUAAAAGGUACUCCGGGGAUAACAGGCUGAUACCGCCCAAGAGUUCAUAUCGACGGCGGUGUUUGGCACCUCGAUGUCGGCUCAUCACAUCCUGGGGCUGAAGUAGGUCCCAAGGGUAUGGCUGUUCGCCAUUUAAAGUGGUACGCGAGCUGGGUUUAGAACGUCGUGAGACAGUUCGGUCCCUAUCUGCCGUGGGCGCUGGAGAACUGAGGGGGGCUGCUCCUAGUACGAGAGGACCGGAGUGGACGCAUCACUGGUGUUCGGGUUGUCAUGCCAAUGGCACUGCCCGGUAGCUAAAUGCGGAAGAGAUAAGUGCUGAAAGCAUCUAAGCACGAAACUUGCCCCGAGAUGAGUUCUCCCUGAGACUUAGAGUCUCCUGAAGGAACGUUGAAGACGACGACGUUGAUAGGCCGGGUGUGUAAGCGCAGCGAUGCGUUGAGCUAACCGGUACUAAUGAACCGUGAGGCUUAACCUUACAACGCCGAAG